GAUGAACGCUGGCGGCGUGCCUAAUACAUGCAAGUCGAGCGAACAGACGAGGAGCUUGCUCCUCUGACGUUAGCGGCGGACGGGUGAGUAACACGUGGAUAACCUACCUAUAAGACUGGGAUAACUUCGGGAAACCGGAGCUAAUACCGGAUAAUAUAUUGAACCGCAUGGUUCAAUAGUGAAAGACGGUUUUGCUGUCACUUAUAGAUGGAUCCGCGCCGGAUUAGCUAGUUGGUAAGGUAACGGCUUACCAAGGCAACGAUGCGUAGCCGACCUGAGAGGGUGAUCGGCCACACUGGAACUGAGACACGGUCCAGACUCCUACGGGAGGCAGCAGUAGGGAAUCUUCCGCAAUGGGCGAAAGCCUGACGGAGCAACGCCGCGUGAGUGAUGAAGGUCUUCGGAUCGUAAAACUCUGUUAUUAGGGAAGAACAAAUGUGGAAGUAACUAUGCACGUCUUGACGGUACCGAAUCAGAAAGCCACGGCUAACUACGUG
RNAcentral lists this ribosomal RNA (497 nucleotides) under uncultured bacterium. Its description in RNAcentral is "partial 16S ribosomal RNA". It matches the Rfam family "Bacterial small subunit ribosomal RNA", at positions 28 to 507 of the family's 1533-position model. The record is from RNAcentral.